Molecule: ribosomal RNA, 253 nt
Filed under: uncultured bacterium
Lineage: Bacteria
Description: partial 16S ribosomal RNA
Rfam family: Bacterial small subunit ribosomal RNA
Source: RNAcentral
UACGUAGGGUGCAAGCGUUGUCCGGAAUUAUUGGGCGUAAAGAGCUCGUAGGCGGUCUGUCACGUCGGCUGUGAAAACCCGAGGCUCAACCUCGGGCCUGCAGUCGAUACGGGCAGACUAGAGUUCGGUAGGGGAGACUGGAAUUCCUGGUGUAGCGGUGAAAUGCGCAGAUAUCAGGAGGAACGCCGGUGGCGAAGGCGGGUCUCUGGGCCGAAACUGACGCUGAGGAGCGAAAGCGUGGGGAGCGAACAGG